GCACGUAGUUAGCCGUGGCUUUCUGGUCAGAUACCGUCAAGGACUGGAGCAGUUACUCUCCAACUUGUUCUUCUCUGACAACAGAGUUUUACGAUCCGAAAACCUUCUUCACUCACGCGGCGUUGCUCCGUCAGACUUUCGUCCAUUGCGGAAGAUUCCCCA
This 162-nucleotide ribosomal RNA is filed under the name uncultured bacterium. RNAcentral describes it as "partial 16S ribosomal RNA". The record is from RNAcentral.